GCUACACACGUGCUACAAUGGCUGGUACAGAGAGAUGCAAUACCGUGAGGUGGAGCCAAACUUUAAAACCAGUCU
Molecule: transfer RNA, 75 nt
Filed under: uncultured Pseudomonas sp.
Lineage: Bacteria; Pseudomonadati; Pseudomonadota; Gammaproteobacteria; Pseudomonadales; Pseudomonadaceae
Description: transfer RNA-Ala
Rfam family: Bacterial small subunit ribosomal RNA
Source: RNAcentral